GGAUCAAUACGUCGGUCGUGCUUUCGGGUACGUACUGGCGUCAUUGGUUUCUCCUUUCUGACGAACCAUGAUGUCAUUAAUUUGGUGUUAUGGGGAGUUAGGACUGUUACUUUGAAAAAUUAGAGUGUUUAAAGCAGGCAUUAGCUUGAAUACAUUAGCAUGGAAUAAUGAAAUAGGACGUUCGAUCCUAUUUUGUUGGUUUCUAGGAUCAACGUAAUGAUU
Molecule: ribosomal RNA, 222 nt
Filed under: uncultured Glomeromycotina
Lineage: Eukaryota; Fungi; Glomeromycota
Description: partial 18S ribosomal RNA
Rfam family: Eukaryotic small subunit ribosomal RNA (bases 48-222)
Source: RNAcentral